AUUGAACGCUGGCGGCAUGCUUUACACAUGCAAGUCGAACGGUAACAGACCUUCGGGUGCUGACGAGUGGCGAACGGGUGAGUAAUGCAUCGGAACAUGCCCAGAGGUGGGGGAUAACGCAGCGAAAGCUGUGCUAAUACCGCAUGUGAUCUGAGGAUGAAAGCGGGGGACCAAGCAGCAAUGUUUGGCCUCGCGCCUCUGGAGCGGCCGAUGUCAGAUUAGGUAGUUGGUGGGGUAAAGGCCUACCAAGCCGACGAUCUGUAGCUGGUCUGAGAGGACGACCAGCCACGCUGGGACUGAGACACGGCCCAGACUCCUACGGGAGGCAGCAGUGGGGAAUUUUGGACAAUGGGCGCAAGCCUGAUCCAGCAAUGCCGCGUGCGGGAAGAAGGCCUUCGGGUUGUAAACCGCUUUUGUACGGAACGAAAAGGCUCUGGCUAAUACCUGGGGCUGAUGACGGUACCGUAAGAAUAAGCACCGGCUAACUACGUG
RNAcentral lists this ribosomal RNA (492 nucleotides) under uncultured bacterium. RNAcentral describes it as "partial 16S ribosomal RNA". It matches the Rfam family "Bacterial small subunit ribosomal RNA", at positions 30 to 507 of the family's 1533-position model. The record is from RNAcentral.